Molecule: transfer RNA, 61 nt
Filed under: Gallerucida bifasciata
Lineage: Eukaryota; Metazoa; Arthropoda; Insecta; Coleoptera; Chrysomelidae
Description: tRNA-Trp
Source: RNAcentral
AUUUAAGUUAUGUACAAACUCUUAACCUUCAAAGUUAAAAAUAGAUUUUAUCUAAGCCUUA